RNAcentral lists this long non-coding RNA (210 nucleotides) under Mytilus galloprovincialis (Mediterranean mussel). The record is from RNAcentral. Lineage: Eukaryota; Metazoa; Mollusca; Bivalvia; Mytilida; Mytilidae.
GCCUAUCAAACAGUGCCUCAUGUGUAGAGUCUGAUGAGACUUUGUCAUUGCUGAAAACUAGAACCUAAGUCCUGUGACAUGACUAGAUUCAGUUGUUCUCGACUCAUUAUAUUUUUGAAAAGUAUUUCAAAAGAUAUAAAUCAAAUUCUGUUCUAUUGUUUUAAUUCAUUUUGUUCCUUGAAUCAACUUAAAAUGCAAAAAAAAGGUAAU